UACGGAGGGUGCAAGCGUUAUCCGGAUUCACUGGGUUUAAAGGGUGCGUAGGCGGGCAUGUAAGUCCGCGGUGAAAUCUCCGAGCUUAACUCGGAAACUGCCAUGGAUACUAUGUGUCUUGAAUGUUGUGGAGGUGAGCGGAAUAUGUCAUGUAGCGGUGAAAUGCUUAGAUAUGACAUAGAACACCAAUUGCGAAGGCAGCUCACUACACAAAUAUUGACGCUGAGGCACGAAAGCGUGGGGAUCAAACAGG
This 253-nucleotide ribosomal RNA is filed under the name uncultured bacterium. RNAcentral's name for it is "partial 16S ribosomal RNA". It matches the Rfam family "Bacterial small subunit ribosomal RNA", at positions 524 to 776 of the family's 1533-position model. The record is from RNAcentral.